Felis catus (domestic cat) is the source of this 3101-nucleotide long non-coding RNA. RefSeq lists it as uncharacterized. NCBI's taxonomy places the organism in Eukaryota, Metazoa, Chordata, Mammalia, Carnivora, Felidae. The transcript is spliced from 4 exons. The record is from RefSeq and is a predicted model, not a curated record.
AGUGAGAUCAUGAUCUGAGUCAAAGUCGGACGCUUAAUCAACUGAGCCACCCAAGUGCCCCAAAAAACUAUAUCCGAUAUUUUAAUUCAACUAUGUGGACUCUACAAGGAAAUAAGCACCCAUACUGAAAUAUGUACCUGUACACCCUUGCCCACUUGCCUAAGGAGCUGCCCCAUCACAGCCUCUGAUAUUCCCAUGAUGCCUUUGUAUGGGCCAGCUGUGUCUAUGUCAUGCUUUGGUAACAAAACCUCCUUGAGUCUCAAUGACUUUUGACAACAAAGAUUUAUUUCUCAGCCACAUUACCAGUAGGUUGAGGGCCAGCUGUGGCCCUGCUUCCUGAAGGAGCAAGUCCUGUCCAGAACAUCGCCACGCUCAUGACAGCGGGAAAAGAGUGAUGUCGCAUGGCUCUCAGGACUUCUCGGGAGUCCCUCCUGUUACUUCACUCGCAUAUCAUUACCGGAGCAAGUCACAUGAACAAGCUGAUAUCCAUGGGGUGAAAAGAACCCCCACAGACCCCAGUACAAAGAGCUGGUAGCAGAUGGACGGGGAACCUACCCUGACCUCCCCGGCUCAUGAGAGCUGCCACCCACAGCUGACCAGACUAUGGCUUUUGUGACCGGAGGUAUCGGAGCUGCAGCGUUAUGUGAGAAACUCCAAGCAAAGAGAUUUGAACUUGACUUGAAGUCUUUCUUUAAUAUUCAAUAAAAAGUUGGAGAUUUAUUGGCCUAUGGCAGAGACCAAUUUCCUGUUACAUGGACCAGAGAGGAGAUUAAAAAAAGAUUUUUAGAGCAGCGCCCAUAUUUCUUAAGAGAGGCAAAGAAUGGAGCUCUCCUAAUUUUGUGGCUCGUGCUGCUAACGUGGCUCCUUUCUCUGGGCCGAUCCGAAAUUAGAAGGCUGGGACCAAAAUCCUGCAGUCUCCCCACAGGGACCAUUUCAAUUUUCCUCUGAGUAGCAGCCCCAUAAGGAUCGUCUUCACAGCUGUAAGGUCAAGGUUGGAAGUGGCUGAGUGUGGAAAAGAUUGAAGACCGUGCCACAGGCUUUCAGCGAAGUACAUUGGCGUGCUCUCUGCAGCCAGAGGGGGGAGGAGUAAUUCCAGCAGGCUUCAGAAUUUAAAAGCACUGCUACAAAGAUCUGGGACAGGAAAUACGGCAGAAAAGUACCGAUGACAGACUGGCAUGAGUUAUCGAUUCCCCCAGUGUAGCCGGCUCAGGGUCAGAGUGUCUCAGUUUGAAUACCAGCUUUGUGACCUUGGACAAGUUACUUAACCUCUCUGUGCCCCUGACUCUUUGUCUGUAUAACACAGAGAGCACCUACCUUACAGGGUAGCCAUGUAGGUGGAAAGAGAUAAAACACAGCAGGCUUGGAAACAAUGCUGGCACAUAGUGAGUACUCAGAAUGCUAGCUUAUUACUAUUGUUGUAUCAACUCAUUGGAAAGCCAACUAAAUCUGGACUGAGCCCUCCAGGCUCCGAACUGAUACUACUGGAAGGAGGCUCCGUGGAAUUAGGGAACAAGGGAUUCAGUUCAACCAGGCAAACAGUUAUGGAGCCUCUGACGCGCAGAUAUGAAGACAAUAUGGCUCUUGCAUCAGGAGAAUCUACACUCCUAAAGAGAAGACAGACACACAAAGAGCAGCACACAGACCCAACAGCCAUGCCUGCAAUUAUGAUCCAAGUACAGAGGUAGCUCAGGACAGGGAGUAUUAAGACGUCCUAAAGGGGGAUAUUGGAAGAGGGUUUUGACAGAUGAAUAGGAGUUUGACACGGUGAACGAGGUGGGGAGAAAUCCCAGGCAAGGCGAUAGCAAGUGAAAAGGAGCAGCUGUCUGAAAGAACACAGUCUGUGUGGAUCUACGAAACGUCAGGCUUUCUGCAAGAGUGUGGGCUUAUGGUAAGAAAUUGUAGGUAGAGAGGUAAUCGGAAUGUCACAAUAAGGAGUUUGGACAUCCUGCCAACAACAGCAAGGCUACGUGUCAGCUCCCCCCGCCCCGCGCGAUGCCCCCGGGUGGGGCUGCUUCCUCACUUGUCAGGUUCACCAGUGUUUUUGCUGCUAAAACAGGUCAUCCUGCCACGCAUCACACUUUAAUUGGACAUUUUCUGUACGUCAGAGAGACUGACAUUCACCGACAUGGCUUCAAGAAUAAGACUCCCUACCCUGAAAAAGCUCAAAGUCGAGUGGGGAAGACACGUGAUCACAAUGCAACCUGAGAGAUCCUAAAAUCCAGCCAAAUCCAUCAGAGGUGAAACCCCGCCCUUCGCAGGAUAACCAAACAGUGUGAAAAUUUGGGCUGCCAUGUGCUGCUCUCCAUAACUUGUUGGGGAAUACAAGUAUAGACAGCCUUUGCAAUCUGGUUCCUGAACACUGACAGAUUCUCCAAGCUUUGAUGUUCUCAAGCAACGGUGGUGGUAACACGUGACCCAUCGUUUACUUUGCCAGACUGAUACAAACCCUAACAGAACUCAGAUGAUUCAGAAAUCAGCUCCAGGUUAAUGGCAUUGUGGUCCCACCCAAACACAGGAGUGGUUGUGGGUUGAGCAGGAAGACGCAGUCAGCGAAGUGUGUACUUAAUCACACCAGCUUGGGGUCAGAAGGAAAUGAACAAAACGUGUGUACUAUCAGUUUUACUGGAAUGACCACAUAGCCAAAGUUAGGCAAGGUGAAUCGUUAACAGGCAUUCCAAUCAUUUCCAUGGUUAGAGUGACUUGUAAGAAAAAGGAUAAUUGCUAAAAUUUUUAAUGAUAACAAAUCUUGACCUUAUUCUGUGCCAGACACCGUGCUAAGCACUUUAUGUUGCCAUCGUAUUUAGGAAGAGAAUCAUUUUCUACAACCACCAGGUGUCUCCAGUUUCUUACAGCUGUCCUGAAAUUCAGACCUCCUUCUCCAGAAGCGUAACAAGCUGAAAUGUUCCAGGUAGAAGCUUCUCUCUCAGACUGGAUGCUGGAGUGAGGAUGGAUGAGAACCCCAGAGAGCCCAUGACAAACAUGUAUUUCCAGUGAAAAACUAGCUUGAAAGCCACUGAGACUUGAGGGCUUGCUUGUUACACAGCACGGCCUAGCAUAUGCUAACUGCUGUUGUACCUUCAUAAAUAUCUCACCUGGAUGAA